GCAGCAUUCAGUAGAUGUUUGGUGGAUUACUCUCUGGAGGACCAGAAGCUUCUGGAACUGAAGGGACAGGAGGAGGGCACGGCACUGCAGUCAGCACUGAGUCCCUAGCGGAGUCUCUCACUGACGGGCUUGCUCAAACACAUCCCCAACCAUCCCCGUCAGCCUUUCUACCUGGCCACCUGGUCAGAGGAGCCAUGUAGGGUGUGGUCCAAGGUCAGCAGAAUGUGUUACAUUAUUUGUUUCAGUUAACGGUAUCGUGAAGCCACUGGCCUACGAAAUCUGGGCUGUCAAGAGGAAUGGCUGCAGAGCCAAGACAGUGGAUCUCAAGUCUUUAAUGUACGGAAUGUCUCCCCCUUUCCGACCUCCACUUCCCUGCCCCCGCCCACGAUGCCGGGGAUCGGGAAGGACUCCAGAAUCUGUAUUUGUACAAGAAACCAAGAUUAUGAUACUGUAGUUGGUCCACACCUUUCACAAAACUCUCCAAGGUCAUACGAUAACAAAACGUGAUUCAUCUACUACAGCAGAAGAUUGUCUCCCAGAACAGUUGGCGCCUCAUAGCUUGUGGUAGCUCCACACAUAGUUAGAAAUAUCUCUGCUGCUGAAGCCUCCGGAGCCCUUAAUAAGCCAAUGCAUACUGGGACUUUCCAGGAACCUCUGUGGAGCAGAACUGAGCAGAGGUGCCUACACACUCGUUUGAGAAACUGGGGAAGCAGCAAUGUGCAGAUCUUAUUGUCACUUUGAUCUCAGCUUUCAAAACAUACAACUUCUUCUCUAAGAGAAACACAAAUGGCUGAUCAAAGUGUAUUUGCAGAGGCCAAGUUCAGUUUCUGAAAAGCCCAAGAACGAAGAGUUGCGUGUCCAGCGGCACUCGCACGUGACACACUCAGUGCGAGGCCCUAGCCUCUGUGCGAGCUCCCGCAGUGCUGUUUGCUCUGCCAACCUGCGUUUCAGAAUGAAGCCAAAGCUCCAGUCCUCCAGUCCUGCUCUGAUGGCCUCAGCAAGCCGCGACUCUGGAAGGGGGCGUGGUGAACGUCUGUCACUCUUGGCAACGCAACCUCAAACCCCCUUUCUGUCUGGGGGUGCUCCUCUUGUACUGUUCUUGUGGUGACAUGCUGAACCCCUAGUUUCUUCUCCUGAAGCCCCAGGGGAGACACCUUCCUGUUCCCCAUCUCCCAGCGACCAGAAUGCAGGCAGGAUCUCAGCAGUCAGAGUGGACGCUCCUAACUGGAACUUUGUCUCUGGAGCCAGGAGCCGAAGCCAAGGGAACAGUGAAGAUUAAUUUCUGGCAGCAUGCCGGAGUGGCAGCACUGUCCCAACAUCCUGGCCAGGCUGUUCCAGAGGUCCACAGUCUGCGUUCCCUUGGUCUCUGCUCCGUUUUAAGCCCAUUCCUUCUGCCUCCUGUUGAUCCUGUGAGCACCAGACUUCCUUCCAAUAAAUCUCACCAGAGGUGAUGUCAACACCAGAUUUCCUUCCAAUAAAUCCCACUGGAGUUAGUGCCUGCUGCUUGCAACCAGAACCCUGCGCAACACAGGGCGGCCCUCUGUGAAGAAAAGGGCUUGUUUUUAUAAGGUCAAUGGGUUCUCACUUUCCUCGGCUCUCUCAGGGCCUGCAAAAACCCAGGCUAAGAGGGCCUGAGGGCCCAGCCCUCGCCCUUGCUGCCUAGUUCCUGGCCUUUCACGAGGGGGCUCGGGCCCCCUCCAUGUGUCACUUCAUGGAAGACGAAGUCUGGUCAGGUGGAGGAAGGCUGGGGAGCAAAAUGGGCUGUUUCACUCCAUCUUUCUCAAGUCCAAAGGACAUCUUGCCGAAGGGAAAGACGCAAAGCAAUACCAUGUGACUUUGACUAGAGCAGGCAAAGGACUCUAAGAUGCAAAAUGACUUUAUGUGCCACUUAGAAAAACAAUGACUGCUAAUUUAACUAUAACACAUCAUCAGUUUGAAUGUGAAAAAUCGUAAAUGCUGGAAUGGAUAAAAUAAUUUGUGGCUUAGAAAGGAAGAGAAAGUAGUUUCCAAAAGAUAAAAAGGAUGGCAAGGACACAGAAUCAGAUCUAAAUCGAGCCUGUGACUGUGCUGCUGUCGGUGAACAGACCUGAAGAGAGGCAAAGGCACUUUUUGUGUUUUGGUUUUUUUAGGUGUAUUGCUUUCAACUUAAGGACAGAUGCCCUAGCUACUAUAAAUAUUUCUGAUGAUGACUAUUUUA
Molecule: long non-coding RNA, 2197 nt
Organism: Enhydra lutris kenyoni (northern sea otter)
Lineage: Eukaryota; Metazoa; Chordata; Mammalia; Carnivora; Mustelidae
Exons: 3
Source: RefSeq, a predicted model, not a curated record